RNAcentral lists this ribosomal RNA (484 nucleotides) under uncultured bacterium. Its description in RNAcentral is "partial 16S ribosomal RNA". It matches the Rfam family "Bacterial small subunit ribosomal RNA", at positions 30 to 507 of the family's 1533-position model. The record is from RNAcentral.
AUUGAACGCUGGCGGCAGGCCUAACACAUGCAAGUCGAGCGGAUGAAGGGAGCUUGCUCCUGGAUUCAGCGGCGGACGGGUGAGCAAUGCCUAGGAAUCUGCCUGGUAGUGGGGGAUAACGUCGGGAAACGGGCGCUAAUACCGCAUACGUCCCGAGGGAGAAAGUGGGGGAUCUUCGGACCUCACGCUAUCAGAUGAGCCUAGGUCGGAUUAGCUAGUUGGUGGGGUAAAGGCCUACCAAGGCGACGAUCCGUAACUGGUCUGAGAGGAUGACCAGUCACGCUGGAACUGAGACACGGUCCAGACUCCUACGGGAGGCUGCAGUGGGGAAUAUUGGACAAUGGUCGAAAGCCUGAUCCAGCCAUGCCGCGUGUGUGAAGAAGGUCUUCGGAUUGUAAAGCGCUUUAAGUUGGGAGGAAGGGCAGUAAGUUAAUCCCUUGCUUUUUUGACGUUACCAACAGAAUAAGCACCGGCUAACUUCGUG